AUUCUAGUAGCUUAUAUCAUCAGAGUAUUGCACUGAAGAUGCAAAGGAAGCAUAAAUUGCUCUAGGAUA
This 69-nucleotide transfer RNA is filed under the name Polinices sagamiensis. RNAcentral's name for it is "tRNA-Phe". The record is from RNAcentral. Lineage: Eukaryota; Metazoa; Mollusca; Gastropoda; Littorinimorpha; Naticidae.